This is a long non-coding RNA of Gasterosteus aculeatus aculeatus (three-spined stickleback), 1269 nucleotides long. The record is from Ensembl. NCBI's taxonomy places the organism in Eukaryota, Metazoa, Chordata, Actinopteri, Perciformes, Gasterosteidae.
AAGAAGUGAAAAGUUUUCCUUUUCCUCAUUGAAUUGAACGAGAACAUGUCUUCCUGUUUCCCCGUAGCCAGAUGUUUGUGCUCUGUGCACCAGUGCGCACUGUGUCAAGUGGCUGCGGAGGCGGGUGCACAUUGGAGAACACCCAAACGGAUGAAACGGACCAAAACGGACGUGCUGCUUCACAGAGACAAACGCAGUAGAUUCAGCCGGGUCGAAAAGCAGAGGACACGAGCCACAGGCCACACUUCACAGGCUCUGUUUAAUGUGGUCAUGGAGGAGCAAAGCAGUUGCCAUCGCGUUGCCUUCCAGGGAAAUAUCAGCGCUCUGCAACUCUCAGCUCAGCGGAGGGAUUAGCCCGGCCUUGGAUUUAAAAGGGGUGGGGGCGCGUUUUUACCCUACAGGGGGUGGCAUGUUUCUAUUUAUGGCGCGAGCUGCAUGAACUCAAGAUUGGUGUCUGCAGGCGUCCGCUGGAGAGUCUCGGGCCCCUAUUUUUGACAACAAAAAAAAAUCAAAAUGCCGCGGUUAAAAAACGUGCAUCAGCACAAAAUGAGCCACUCGCAGGUUUUCUGACGUCGCUGACGUGCGUUUGUUUCAUCCACCCAGCGUCAUGAAAGAAAACCCUUUUCUAGUUAAGCUCUUCUGAGAUCAUCGGCUCCCCGGGGCCCCGAUGAGACUUCCACCAAUCGUGCCACAGAGAAGUGGCGAUUGCCCAAUUACACCCCAGCUGUCCACGCGGGGAGGGGGGGGGGGGGGGGUGAUGGAGGCAGCAAGAGAGGAUACAAAUGACAGUGACAGAAAUCUGAGCGGAGCGGUUUUGACAGGAAUGGCAUAUUGCUCACUUUCUUUGACUUAUUAAGGAGGAGUGUGUAACACUCGGUGGCAUUUAGUGGCGAUGUCGUUCCCCCCUUUUCAAACGUGCCAAACGUGGGUUUGAAUAUUAUAUUCCAUUUCCGCCAAUGAAUCUCCUUCUUAAUGCUCCUUUAACGGGUGCGGGGCCCUUUCCCGGGUCCCUAGCCAGACACCUGCCAAGACACGGUGAGAUACUCCCGGAGCAAAGCGCUCCUCCACUCAAUAAAUAAAUCCUAAUAAAAUGCAGAUCCAUAUUUAACCGUCUCUUUGUGAAUCAUUGAAAACCAUAAUUAGCCAGUUGAGGCCGUGUUGCUUUUAGACUUGGAGAUGUCUUUUUAUUUGUUUUAAUUUUAUUUCCCCGGCUGAGAUUUGGUCCAAAGAGCAGCAGUACAUCAGAGAUCAAAGAGAUGAGAGAUGCAA